RNAcentral lists this non-coding RNA (45 nucleotides) under Schistosoma curassoni. Lineage: Eukaryota; Metazoa; Platyhelminthes; Trematoda; Strigeidida; Schistosomatidae. The record is from RNAcentral.
AUUCAGCCGACGAGUCCCAAAUGAGACGAAACGCGUGUCCUGGAU